UGGGGAAUAUUGCACAAUGGGCGCAAGCCUGAUGCAGCCAUGCCGCGUGUAUGAAGAAGGCCUUCGGGUUGUAAAGUACUUUCAGUCGGGAGGAAGGUGGUAAGGUUAAUAACCUUAUCAAUUGACGUUACCGACAGAAGAAGCACCGGCUAACUCCGUGCCAGCAGCCGCGGUAAUACGGAGGGUGCAAGCGUUAAUCGGAAUUACUGGGCGUAAAGCGCACGCAGGCGGUUGAUUGAGUCAGAUGUGAAAUCCCCGGGCUUAACCCGGGAAUUGCAUCUGAUACUGGUCAGCUAGAGUCUUGUAGAGAGGGGUAGAAUUCCAUGUGUAGCGGUGAAAUGCGUAGAGAUGUGGAGGAAUACCGGUGGCGAAGGCGGCCCCCUGGACAAAGACUGACGCUCAGGUGCGAAAGCGUGGGGAGCAAACAGG
RNAcentral lists this ribosomal RNA (429 nucleotides) under Chloroflexota bacterium. Its description in RNAcentral is "Chloroflexi bacterium partial 16S ribosomal RNA". It matches the Rfam family "Bacterial small subunit ribosomal RNA", at positions 355 to 776 of the family's 1533-position model. The record is from RNAcentral. Lineage: Bacteria; Bacillati; Chloroflexota.